UAGGGAAUAUUGCGCAAUGGACGAAAGUCUGACGCAGCGACGCCGCGUGAGUGAUGAAGGCCUUAGGGUCGUAAAGCUCUGUUGAAUGGGAAGAAAAAAUGACGGUACCAUUCGAGGAAGGACCGGCUAACUUCGUGCCAGCAGCCGCGGUAAUACGAGGGGUCCUAGCGUUGUUCGGAAUCAUUGGGCGUAAAGGGUGUGUAGGUGGCUAAGUAAGUCAGGUGUGAAAGCCCCGGGCUCAACCCGGGAAGUGCAUCUGAUACUGCGUAGCUUGAGUACCGAAGAGGAUAGUGGAAUUCCAGGUGUAGUGGUGAAAUACGUAGAUAUCUGGAGGAACACCGGUGGCGAAGGCGGCUAUCUGGUCGAGUACUGACACUGAGACACGAAAGCAUGGGGAUCAAACAGGAUUAGAUACCCUAGUAGUCCCUGAGCGGGCUGGCAAGGCGCAU
RNAcentral lists this ribosomal RNA (449 nucleotides) under uncultured bacterium. RNAcentral describes it as "bacterial SSU rRNA". It matches the Rfam family "Bacterial small subunit ribosomal RNA", at positions 355 to 825 of the family's 1533-position model. The record is from RNAcentral.